UCAAACCUCCAAGAACGUCCACACAAGCGCCUAGCUUCAACGUGUCGAUUGGGCAAGUCUCUGGCUUAGGUGGAGUUGGUGUUGGCGGUGUUACGACCGGUGGGCUUGGUGUUGGUGGCGUAACAACAGGUGGCGGUGGGCACGGUGAUGGCGGUGGCGGUGGGCACGGUGAUGGCGGCGUUACGACGGGUGGAGGCGUAUGAGUGGGUGGUUUAGGGGUGGACGGAGGUGGUUUAACAGUGGGCGGUUUCGUGGGUGGUUUCGGGGUAGACGGAGGAGGUUUAACGGUGGGCGGUUUCGUGGGUGGUUUCGGGGUGGACGGAGGUGGUUUAACGGUGGGCGGUUUCGUGGGUGGUUUCGGGGUGGGAUGAGGUUUGGUAGGGGGUUUCGGAUGUGGGUGUGGUUUGACAGUGGGCGGUUUGGUAGGGGGUUUAGGGUGUGGGUGUGGUUUGACGGUGGGUGGUUUGGGAGGUUUUACUGCCGGUGGUUUAGGCGGUUUGCUAGGAUGUUUAGGCGGUUUGUGGGGGUGAGGUGAUGGUUUAGGAGGGCUACAGUCGCAAGCGAAGGAGACGGCAAGAAAGCCAAGGAAGAGGAAGAUAAGAAAAGAGAG
RNAcentral lists this long non-coding RNA (610 nucleotides) under Brassica rapa (field mustard). RNAcentral's name for it is "long non-coding RNA (BRAP_LNC002077)". The record is from RNAcentral. Lineage: Eukaryota; Viridiplantae; Streptophyta; Magnoliopsida; Brassicales; Brassicaceae.